RNAcentral lists this ribosomal RNA (483 nucleotides) under uncultured bacterium. RNAcentral describes it as "partial 16S ribosomal RNA". It matches the Rfam family "Bacterial small subunit ribosomal RNA", at positions 29 to 507 of the family's 1533-position model. The record is from RNAcentral.
AUUGAACGCUGGCGGCAUGCUUUACACAUGCAAGUCGAACGGCAGCGCGGGCUUCGGCCUGGCGGCGAGUGGCGAACGGGUGAGUAAUGCAUCGGAACGUGCCCAGUAGUGGGGGAUAGCCCGGCGAAAGCCGGAUUAAUACCGCAUACGACCUGAGGGUGAAAGCGGGGGACCGAAAGGCCUCGCGCUAUUGGAGCGGCCGAUGUCGGAUUAGCUAGUUGGUGGGGUAAAGGCUUACCAAGGCGACGAACCGUAGCUGGUCUGAGAGGACGACCAGCCACACUGGGACUGAGACACGGCCCAGACUCCUACGGGAGGCAGCAGUGGGGAAUUUUGGACAAUGGGGGCAACCCUGAUCCAGCCAUGCCGCGUGCGGGAAGAAGGCCUUCGGGUUGUAAACCGCUUUUGUUCGGGAAGAAAUCCUCUGGGCUAAUACCCGGGGGGAUGACGGUACCGGAAGAAUAAGCACCGGCUAACUACGUG